Molecule: long non-coding RNA, 1723 nt
Filed under: Papio anubis (olive baboon)
Lineage: Eukaryota; Metazoa; Chordata; Mammalia; Primates; Cercopithecidae
Description: lncRNA (ENSPANG00000049570.1)
Source: RNAcentral
CUCCAGUGUAUUUUCUAGUUACUUUCCUACAAUUUAUCGCCCCAAACCCAAACCCCUUUUCCCUUGUCUUAUCAUAUCUUCAUAAUUUAUCAUUCUUUGUUUUUUUUCCAAAAAGGUAUAUAAGGUCUCAGGCCUAUCACUUUUUGGGGGGUCUAUACUUUUUUACAAAGACCUCUAUAUACAUACGUACUAAUAAACCUUUUCUCCUAUGUAAUCUGUCUUUUGACAGUCUAAUUUGUAGAGCCCCAACCACUGAACUGAAGAAGGUAAAGGAAAACAUUUUUGUUUGUUUGUUUCCUUCUGAAUUACAUGGUCUCUAGUGCUUGAAUGGCCCUUCGAUCUAAGUAUUAGAUCUCUUUUGCAGAAGAGAAAAUUAGGGUUAAAAUACUUGUCCCAGAUCACAAGGAGAAUGUACACAAGACUCUAGAUUGUUUCAGUCAAUCCUCAUUUGACUUUGUCAUGUUUAAACUAACAUUUCUCAAACCUCCUUCAAGCUAGAGUUCUAAAUGUGAAUUCACUUCUACCCAUUACAUAUACCAAUGCAAGAUUGGGACAGUGGAAAUGAGGCCAAGGCUGCCUUCUUGUGGCUCAUGGCUUUUGUUGCUGGCAAGCAAGCAUCUUGAAAAUCUGAGGGUUUUCUGUAGUAGCAAUCCCAGGUCAUUGACCAAUCUCUUGGAUGUUGGCAGGCAGUUACAGCAGUGGUGCUGGAAGAGAUGCUUGCUUCCAGCAUCUCUCUGGGGAAACCUCAGAAGUAACACUUCCCUAGGAGAGCUGUUCUAUGUCUCACUCUUGGAGUCACUAGAAGCUGUUUUUUCAGCCCUUCUUAUAAUCAUGAACAAACCCCAGGCAAGCCUACAACUUGAACCUACUGGUGGAUGCUCCUGAUAAAUUGGCUCACUGAAACACUCGGAACGUUUAUCUGAUAAUCACUAAUGGGCAGACAAGCAGGCAUGUAUACUGAGAUUUGAGUGUUUGGGGAAUCUAUGAGAGUGUAAAAAAGAUUGUCAAAAAUGGCAAAAUGGUCUUACACUCUUCAUUCCACACAUUAACUGUGCAUAGCUAUAUUCUUUGCCAUUAAACAAGAAUUUACAGACUUCAUAUUUAUAUUAGCUUUUCAUCAAUCACAUUACAGUGUUGUAGCAAAUAUGCAUCUACUGUCUCUUCUGUCAUCUCUACCUUAAAAUGGCACUCCAUGUGUAUCUAUAUAAUUUUCCUUCUCCCAAUAGAGAUAAAGAGCAUAUAUUUUUCCUUUCUUCAUGUCUAAAACUUUAACUUCUUUCUUAUUCCAACUCUUUCUCUUCCAAAAUUCUAUCGCCUUGCAUCUGAAUUUUUCUUUCCUCUGUUGAAUCCUUUCUAUAAGUCUGCAGGGUUUUCACCACCAUUUUAUGUUUUAAACUUUGUAUUUCUCAUGAAUUCCCCAAGUGGAGAUUUCCAGUCUGCAAACAAAGGCCACCUCCUCUGUGAAGAUAUUUUUUAUUCCCAAAUUGGUAGUAAUCAUUCCAUGUCCUAAAAUAGCAUACCAAUUUCUCAAAAUAAUUGUAUGGCUUUUAGACAGAUAACUACAGUACAAAAUAUAACAUGAAACCUCAACAGUAGACUCGGCUCCUUUAAAAAGGGAUCUAUGGUUUUUGACUUUGAUAAUUGCGAAUAGUAGGCAUUAGAUGAAAUCAUAUGAAUAACAUUUCAAACAUAUCUCACUACAAAUGCGAAGAGUAGGUUGUUU